This 521-nucleotide ribosomal RNA is filed under the name uncultured bacterium. RNAcentral describes it as "bacterial SSU rRNA". It matches the Rfam family "Bacterial small subunit ribosomal RNA", at positions 311 to 847 of the family's 1533-position model. The record is from RNAcentral.
CACUGGGACUGAGGACGGCCCAGACUCCAACGGGAGGCAGCACUGCUACAUUUUCCACCAUGGGCGAAAGCCUGACGGAGCAAUACAGCGUGAGGGAGGAAGGCUCUUGGGUCGAAAACCUCUUUUCUCAUGGAAAAACACAUUGACGGUACCUGAGGAAUAGCCAUCGGCUAACUCCGAGCUACCAGCCGCGGUAAUACCGAGGAUGUUCGCGUUGUCCGGAUUUACUGGGCGUAAAGAGCGCGUAGGCGGUUCGAUAAGUGUGAAGCUAAGUCUCUUGGCUCANCCAAUAAACUAUUUCGCAUACUGACGGGCUGUAGUGAUGCCGAGGCGGAUAGAAUUCCCGGUGUAGCGGGUGAAAUGCGUUGAUAUCGGGAGGAAUACCCGAGGAGAANGCUGUCCACUGGGCAUCAACUGACGCUGAGGCGCAAAAGCGUGUGUAGCAACAGGAUUAGAUACCCUGGUAGUCACGUCCUAAACGAUAGAUGCUAAGCGUAUGAGGUAUCGACCCCUCCUGUGCC